RNAcentral lists this ribosomal RNA (468 nucleotides) under uncultured bacterium. RNAcentral's name for it is "partial 16S ribosomal RNA". It matches the Rfam family "Bacterial small subunit ribosomal RNA", at positions 28 to 523 of the family's 1533-position model. The record is from RNAcentral.
GAUGAACGCUGGCGGCGUGCCUAACACAUGCAAGUCGAGCGAUUCUCUUCGGAGAAGAGCGGCGGACGGGUGAGUAACGCGUGGGUAACCUGCCCUGUACACACGGAUAACAUACCGAAAGGUAUGCUAAUACGGGAUAAUAUGCUUUAGUCGCAUGGCUGAAGUAUCAAAGCUCCGGCGGUACAGGAUGGACCCGCGUCUGAUUAGCUAGUUGGUAAGGUAACGGCUUACCAAGGCGACGAUCAGUAGCCGACCUGAGAGGGUGAUCGGCCACAUUGGAACUGAGACACGGUCCAAACUCCUACGGGAGGCAGCAGUGGGGAAUAUUGCACAAUGGGCGAAAGCCUGAUGCAGCAACGCCGCGUGAGCGAUGAAGGCCUUCGGGUCGUAAAGCUCUGUCCUCAAGGAAGAUAAUGACGGUACUUGAGGAGGAAGCCCCGGCUAACUACGUGCCAGCAGCCGCCGUAA